AGCUUUAAUUACACAAGCCAAACCAGCCGGCUAUAAAUUAGGGCAGCGAUCUUCAAUCCUUGUUCAUCAUCAUCAUCAUCAUCAUCACAGAAAAACAAAGAGAGAUGGAGAGAAAAACAAAGGCUUUGUUGGUUUUGGUGAUAGUGGUGCUGUUUGGGUCACUUGCUGAAGGAGCUAGGGAUUUGGAGACAAAUGGGGAUGAAGUUUACCGGCAGGAGGAACUCUUUUGGGGUGGCGCAGGCGGUAAGGGAUUGAAAGGUCACGGCUGGCUGUGGGGUCACCGCUGGUGGCCGUGGAAUUGGGGUACCGGUAUAACUCCUGGUGUCGGACUCGGACCAGGGAUCGGAGGAGGCGGACCAGGAGUCGGUGGAGCAGGACCAGGAGUCGGUGGAGGCCUACCAGGGAUAAUCGGUGGAGGCCUACCAGGGAUAAUCGGAGGAGGCGGACCAGGGAUCCCAGGGGGUGGACCUGGAAUCGGGGGAGGCGGGCCAGGAAACCCAGGAGGGCUACCAGCAAUCGGAGGAGGCGGACCUGGAAUGACUGCUGCAAGAUUUUCAAGGCCAAUUUGGCCGGAUUCAGAGCGAGUGCGACCACCAAGAACUGCAGAGCCAAGAACGACAGUUGGCGCUGCAACUGCAACAGAUUCAAGGACAAUUUUGGGAGUUUCAGAGCCAGUGCUACCACCAAAAACUGCAAUAUUCUCAGAGCCAGGAACGACGGUUGAAGCUGCAACUGCAACAGAUUCAAGGAAAAUUUGGGCAGAUUCAGAGCCAGUGCUACCACCAAAAACUGCAAUAUUCUCAGAGCCAGGAACGACGGUUGAAGCUGCAACUGCAACAGAUUCAAGGAAAAUUUGGGCAGAUUCAGAGCCAGUGCUACCACCAAAAACUGCAAUAUUCUCAGAGCCAGGAACGACGGUUGAAGCUGCAACUGCAACAGAUUCAAGGAAAAUUUGGGCAGAUUCAGAGCCAGUGCUACCACCAAAAACUGCAAUAUUCUCAGAGCCAGGAACGACGGUUGAAGCUGCAACUGCAACAGAUUCAAGGAAAAUUUGGGCAGAUUCAGAGCCAGUGCUACCACCAAAAACUGCAAUAUUCUCAGAGCCAGGAACGACGGUUGAAGCUGCAACUGCAACAGAUUCAAGGAAAAUUUGGGCAGAUUCAGAGCCAGUGCUACCACCAAAAACUGCAAUAUUCUCAGAGCCAAGAACGACAGUUGAAGCUAUAACUGCAACUGCAACAGAAGAGGUACCCAAACGUCCUUGAAACCGAGAUGUAUUCACUAUGCUACAACAAUGAUAGAGCGACUAAAUAAUACGAAUUUGCAGAAAGAUCAGAUUUGCUCAUGAUGGAUAUGUAAAGCUCUACUACUACAAUAAAAAUGAUGGUAUCUUUAUGUAUGGCGAGAGAGAUCGAUGACAUAUAUCUAAAAUCAUAGAUCACUUGCAUUCCGUCAAGAUCCCAGUACGAAUUGUUGUUAACAAGUGUUCACAACAUCGAGAACACCUGAAAUUCAGAUUUGCCAAAUUCAUCAAUACAAGGCAAAUCUGAUAUGAUCUAAUUGCAAAUGUUAGAUGAACUUUGUCCUGACAUAAAUUCAACCAAAAAAAAGGAGAAAAAAGGCAUCCACCAUGCUAAAGCUGCUGUUCUUCCUUUCAUCCAUCCAUCUGAAGGCUACUCUCAUCGAAC
RNAcentral lists this long non-coding RNA (1688 nucleotides) under Linum usitatissimum (flax). RNAcentral describes it as "long non-coding RNA (LUSI_LNC007663)". Lineage: Eukaryota; Viridiplantae; Streptophyta; Magnoliopsida; Malpighiales; Linaceae. The record is from RNAcentral.